This 497-nucleotide ribosomal RNA is filed under the name uncultured bacterium. Its description in RNAcentral is "partial 16S ribosomal RNA". It matches the Rfam family "Bacterial small subunit ribosomal RNA", at positions 28 to 507 of the family's 1533-position model. The record is from RNAcentral.
GAUGAACGCUGGCGGCGUGCCUAAUACAUGCAAGUCGAGCGAACGGACGAGAAGCUUGCUUCUCUGAUGUUAGCGGCGGACGGGUGAGUAACACGUGGAUAACCUACCUAUAAGACUGGGAUAACUUCGGGAAACCGGAGCUAAUACCGGAUAAUAUUUUGAACCGCAUGGUUCAAAAGUGAAAGACGGUCUUGCUGUCACUUAUAGAUGGAUCCGCGCUGCAUUAGCUAGUUGGUAAGGUAACGGCUUACCAAGGCAACGAUGCAUAGCCGACCUGAGAGGGGGAUCGGCCGCACUGGAACUGGAACACGGACCAGAGUCCUACGGGAGGCAGCAGUAGGGAAUCGUCCGCAAUGGGCGAAAGCCUGACGGAGCAACGCCGCGUGAGUGAUGAAGGUCUUCGGAUCGUAAAACUCUGUUAUUAGGGAAGAACAUAUGUGUAAGUAACUGUGCACAUCUUGACGGUACCUAAUCAGAAAGCCACGGCUAACUACGUG